This 371-nucleotide ribosomal RNA is filed under the name uncultured bacterium. Its description in RNAcentral is "bacterial SSU rRNA". It matches the Rfam family "Bacterial small subunit ribosomal RNA", at positions 527 to 896 of the family's 1533-position model. The record is from RNAcentral.
GUAGGUGGCAAGCGUUGUCCGGAUUUACUGGGCGUAAAGAGCGCGCAGGCGGUCGUUCAAGUCGCGUGUGAAAGCCCCCGGCUCAACUGGGGAGGGUCACGCGAUACUGAUCGACUCGAAGGCAGGAGAGGGUAGUGGAAUUCCCGGUGUAGUGGUGAAAUGCGUAGAUAUCGGGAGGAACACCAGUGGCGAAGGCGACUACCUGGCCUGUUCUUGACGCUGAGGCGCGAAAGCUAGGGGAGCAAACGGGAUUAGAUACCCCGGUAGUCCUAGCCGUAAACGAUGAGUGCUGGGUGUAGGGGGUAUUAACCCCCCCUGUGCCGAAGCUAACGCAUUAAGCACUCCGCCUGGGGAGUACGGNCGCAAGGCUG